GUUAGUGGCGGACGGGUGAGUAACGCGUGAGAAUYUGCCCUCAGGAGGGGGAUAACGGUUGGAAACGACCGCUAAUACCCCAUAUGCCGCGAGGUGAAAUGAAUUUCGCCUGAGGAUGAGCUCGCGUCUGAUUAGCUAGUUGGUGGGGUAAGAGCCUACCAAGGCUUCGAUCAGUAGCUGGUCUGAGAGGAUGAUCAGCCACACUGGGACUGAGACACGGCCCAGACUCCUACGGGAGGCAGCAGUGGGGAAUUUUCCGCAAUGGGCGAAAGCCUGACGGAGCAACGCCGCGUGAGGGAUGAAGGCCUCUGGGCUGUAAACCUCUUUUAUCAAGGAAGAAGAUCUGACGGUACUUGAUGAAUAAGCCACGGCUAAUUCCGUGCCAGCAGCCGCGGUAAUACGGGAGUGGCAAGCGUUAUCCGGAAUUAUUGGGCGUAAAGCGUCCGCAGGCGGUCUUACAAGUCUGUCGUUAAAGCGUGGAGCUUAACUCCAUUUCGGCGAUGGAAACUGUAAGACUAGAGUGUGGUAGGGGCAGAGGGAAUUCCCGGUGUAGCGGUGAAAUGCGUAGAUAUCGGGAAGAACACCAGUGGCGAAGGCGCUCUGCUGGGCCAUAACUGACGCUCAUGGACGAAAGCUAGGGGAGCGAAAGGGAUUAGAUACCCCUGUAGUCCUAGCCGUAAACGAUGAACACUAGGUGUCGGGGGAAUCGACCCCCUCGGUGUCGUAGCCAACGCGUUAAGUGUUCCGCCUGGGGAGUACGCACGCAAGUGUGAAACUCAAAGGAAUUGACGGGGGCCCGCACAAGCGGUGGAGUAUGUGGUUUAAUUCGAUGCAACGCGAAGAACCUUACCAGGGUUUGACAUCCUGCGAAUCCCUUGGAAACUUGGGAGUGCCUUCGGGAGCGCAGUGACAGGUGGUGCAUGGCUGUCGUCAGCUCGUGUCGUGAGAUGUUGGGUUAAGUCCCGCAACGAGCGCAACCCACGUCUUUAGUUGCCAGCAUUUAGUUGGGCACUCUAGAGAGACCGCCGGUGAUAAACCGGAGGAAGGUGUGGAUGACGUCAAGUCAUCAUGCCCCUUACAUCCUGGGCUACACACGUACUACAAUGCUACGGACAAAGGGCAGCAAACUCKCGAGAGCUAGCCAAUCCCAUAAACCGUGGCUCAGUUCAGAUCGUAGGCUGCAACUCGCCUACGUGAAGGAGGAAUCGCUAGUAAUCGCAGGUCAGCAUACUGCGGUGAAUACGUUCCCGGGCCUUGUACACACCGCCCGUCACACCAUGGAAGUUGGCCACGCCCGAAGUCGUUACUCCAACCCUUGUGGAGGAGGAUGCCGAAGGUGGGGCUGAUGACUGGGGUGAAGUCGUAACAAGGUAGCCGUACCGGAAGGUGCGGCUGGAUCACCUCCU
This 1406-nucleotide ribosomal RNA is filed under the name Synechococcus sp. MI0607A. Its description in RNAcentral is "16S ribosomal RNA". It matches the Rfam family "Bacterial small subunit ribosomal RNA". The record is from RNAcentral. Lineage: Bacteria; Bacillati; Cyanobacteriota; Cyanophyceae; Synechococcales; Synechococcaceae.